CCAAUAGCGUAUAUUAAAGUUGUUGCAGUUAAAAAGCUCGUAGUUGGAUUUCGGGAUUAGUACGUCGGUCGUGCCUUAGGUACGUACUGGUGUUACUGGUUCCUACCUUCCGACGAACCAUCAUGUCAUUAAUUUGGUGUGGUGGGGAAUCAGGACUGUUACUUUGAAAAAAUUAGAGUGUUUAAAGCAGGCUCGCGCUUGAAUACAUUAGCAUGGAAUAAUGAAAUAGGACGUUGAUCCUAUUUUGUUGGUUUCUAGGAUUGACGUAAUGAUUAAUAGGGAUAGUUGGGGGCAUUAGUAUUCAAUUGUCAGAGGUGAAAUUCUUGGAUUUAUUGAAGACUAACUACUGCGAAAGCAUUUGCCAAGGAUGUUUUCAUUAAUCAAGAACGAAAGUUAGGGGAUCGAAGACGAUCAGAUACCGUCGUAGUCUUAACCAUAAACUAUGCCGACUAGGGAUCGGAUGAUGUUAUUUUUAAUGACUCAUUCGGCGCCUUACG
Molecule: ribosomal RNA, 497 nt
Filed under: uncultured Glomeromycotina
Lineage: Eukaryota; Fungi; Glomeromycota
Description: partial small subunit ribosomal RNA
Rfam family: Eukaryotic small subunit ribosomal RNA
Source: RNAcentral